UGUAGAAGGUGGAGCUGAAAUCCAAGGUUCAUUAGUGCCUUGACUUAGCAAAGAACCGGUCUCAGGAUCAAAUGGCAGUUAGAAAGAAAUUCUUUGGGGCUUGGAAAAGUAGCCUUCCUAUUUUAUCUGUGUCAUUUUGCUCUUUAAUUUUGGUAGUGGUUGAAGAAGUAAUUGAAAGUGAAUUCAAAUGUCCUCAAAGAAAGAAUUUGAGAAUUUGCUAUGGCUUGUCCUUUUUCAUUUUUCCAGCCCUUAUUUUGCUUGUCCUGAGCUUGAUACUUCAGGAGGAUUUCAUUGGUCGUGCUCGCUGCUCAGAAAAAUGCAGUUGCUACCACGGCUGUGAAAUAGUGGGAAAGGCUGUUGGACCUUCUCUUUUAUGGUGCGUGAUUCUCCUCAUUGAUGGCCGAUACAGUGAUUGCAUAAAUACGGCAUUCAAGGGAAACAGCACAGAACCCACAGCACAAACAACACCAGCACAGACACCCAGUGAAGCGUACGUACUAUCGCAGGUUUUUGGACUAUUUGCCCUUUUUGUUAUCAUAUUUGUCUACUGCCUAUACACACUUUACCCAUUCUGGUUCUGCUGCAAUGAUAAAGAAGAACGUAAGAAGAUAGAGAGCCAGCGCAUACUAGAGGAAGAAACUAAAAUCUGUAUUUCAAAAGAGGAAAAGUAUGUGCAGGAAAUAGUGCAGAAUGUCCUGGUAUCUAAGUUUCAGAAUCGCCUGAAAAAUGUUUCAAAUGGCAUAAGUAUAAAAGGCAUAUUUGAAGAAGUAAAGAAGUUUCUUAACCCACCAGCAACAUCUCGAACUCCUCAAAUGGAAACUGAAAUGUGAAAGUUCCUCCUGAAUUGGAAAUCAGGCCAAGGUAGCCAAUACUGAUGUAAUCUUUAUGGAAAAGGCUGCAGCCCCACAUCUGUAUGGUGACUUUCAUAAAUCAAUACAACCAGAAACCACUGCCCCCACACUUUUUGAAAGAGUACAGAAAAUAGAAUUUAACAACAAAAUCAUGCUUUAUUAGGUACAGUGCAUAUUAGCACGUAGAAAACAGCUGUACUGCUGAGUGUUCCCCACAAUAUCUCCCACAGAUGUUAAAAAAUGUAUGUAGAAUUUAGUAUCAUUUGCAGUGUUGUUGUACCUGUGUUAGUCCCAGGAUAUUAGAAAGACAAGGUGGGUGAGGGAAUAUCUUUUAUUGGACCAACUUCUCUUGGUGUGAGAGACAAGGUUUCAAGUUUACACAGAGCUCUUCUUCAGGUUCUGCAUCUUGUCUUUCUGAAGAAUUUAAUGUCAUGUCAUUGAUUUGUCCUCAAGAGAAUCAUCCUAAAGACUUCCAGUAAUCUGCUGAUCAGGACAUAUUCUGUUUAUUGCAGGGCAGUUUCCUUGUGCAUUGAAAUCAUAACCAAAUAUCCCUGAUGCUGAGGAUUUUAAAUCUGUGCCCUGUGUCUGUUUCAGAGCUGUACUUUUCUCAAAACAUUUUCGGGUGCUGUUGUAGAAUGUUUCAUUUGGCUUGAUCAGGUUUAAGGACCCUUUUCUAGUUUCUCUAUCAUUGCUUGUGCUUAGGACUGGACAAAAGCUGUCUGUUCAAUAGCUCAGAUGGUCAGUUAGUUUUCUUACUGUAUUUUCUUUGUAAUUAUCUUUCUUAUUUUUAUGUAUGAAACCUUAAAAAUAAAAUUAUUUUGAAAUACA
This is a long non-coding RNA of Gopherus flavomarginatus (Mexican gopher tortoise), 1679 nucleotides long. RefSeq lists it as uncharacterized. The transcript is spliced from 2 exons. The record is from RefSeq and is a predicted model, not a curated record. NCBI's taxonomy places the organism in Eukaryota, Metazoa, Chordata, Testudines, Testudinidae.